RNAcentral lists this ribosomal RNA (253 nucleotides) under uncultured bacterium. RNAcentral's name for it is "partial 16S ribosomal RNA". It matches the Rfam family "Bacterial small subunit ribosomal RNA", at positions 524 to 776 of the family's 1533-position model. The record is from RNAcentral.
UACGUAGGGUGCAAGCGUUAAUCGGAAUUACUGGGCGUAAAGCGCGCGUAGGCGGCUUUGCAAGCCGGAUGUGAAAUCCCCGGGCUUAACCUGGGAACUGCAUUCGGGACUGCAUUGCUAGAGUAUGGGAGAGGGAAGUGGAAUUUCAGGUGUAGCGGUGAAAUGCGUAGAUAUCUGAAGGAACAUCAGUGGCGAAAGCGAUUUCCUGGACCAAUACUGACGCUCAUGUGCGAAAGCGUGGGGAGCAAACAGG